RNAcentral lists this long non-coding RNA (1217 nucleotides) under Vulpes vulpes (red fox). RNAcentral describes it as "lncRNA (ENSVVUG00000022333.1)". The record is from RNAcentral. Lineage: Eukaryota; Metazoa; Chordata; Mammalia; Carnivora; Canidae.
GUUACAAUGAAGGGACCCCAGUGUGGAGCUGGGCUCCUGGACUCAUUUCUGCUUGAACUGCUUCAUUUCUAUGGUUAUCACAUCAGCAACCUUGACCUCAUUAAGCUGAGAAUCCAGAAUAUCGUCUGAAUACCUAAUGUGAGUCAAGUGCUGUACUCCGUUAAUUUUCACAUUUCUUCAUUCAAGACUAAUAUUUGUUGAGAGCCUGUUUUGUUCCAGAUUCUCUUCUAGGUGCUGGGAACACAUCUUUGAACAAAACAAAGCCCCCCUUCUCAUAAAGUUUACGCUCCAGCGGAGGCAUGCAGAUAAACAAGCCCACCAAACUAAGCUAUCUAUGUCCUACGUCAGGGUAGAAGAUGUGAUCCAGAAGGGGAAGUAGUGUUUGAGCAAGGAUCCGAAGCAAACGUUACAUGAGGCCAUGUAAAUACCCACAAGGGUGUUCCAGGUAGAAGUUACAGGUCCACAGUGGCCUUGAGACAGAAGAGUACCUGGCACGUCUGAGAAACAGCAAGGAGACCCAAGGCUGGAGAUGAAAUAGCUGGUGACAUGGAAGUAGUUAUCAGGGAGCUCACCAGGGGCCAGAUUGUGACCCAUCAUUGAAGGCCCUCAGAAGGAUUUUGGGAUUUUAUUCCACUGAAAUGGAAAGGCCUUGGAGGGUUUGAGUGUAGAACUGACGUUUUGAAAAGAUCAUUGCUACAUGUAUGGAAUAUAUCGAUUGCGUGGACUGUGCUGUGAUGAACACGGUGUCCCUUUGUUCCCGUGUACGAUGAUAAUGCACACACUCAACCCGGAGUGUUGUCCUGUUUAUGAGGCAAAGUGUGCUUCAAUUAUUGUUCCACGGAGUGAUAUGCCUCAUGUGAUGAGAUGCCUUGGACGAUGCAGUGCUUGAAGGACUUGCUGUUGCCUACGCGUGUCUUUAGUUGAAGUCUGUAGAAUAGUUUAGCCUAUUUCAAAAGUUGUCGUGACACUGAGAUCUGGAAAUGUUCUGUUCCACCCUUUUUGCUCUUUACAGCUCAUAAAUGCUCUAGCAGACCCGAGUCUGUCUGCUGGAAUUAGGAAGUGGUGGUAAGUAUCUUAGUUCAGUAAGUCCUAACUUAAAGUAUUGUGGCUUAAAAAACAUCGUAUUGUAUAAAAACUGGGAUCUUUUUCAAGCCUUAUUAAGAAGUUUUGCCUAAUGUCAAAAGUGACUAAUAAAGGGACAAGGCAUCUUGUUUCCA